GAAUCCCACAGGCCGUAAACCCAAGGUUUCCAGGGGAAGGUUCGUCCGCCCUGGGUUAGUCGGGACCUAAGCUGAGGCCGAAAGGCGUAGGUGAUGGACAACAGGGUGAUAUUCCUGUACUACCGAUAACCGUUUGAGAGAAGGGAGGACACAGUAGGAUAAGCUAAGCACACUGUUGGGUAUGUGUGCCCAAGCAUUGAGGCAGUCAAAGUAGGCAAAUCCGCUUUGAUAAUGCUGGGAUGUGAUGGGGAGCGAAA
RNAcentral lists this ribosomal RNA (257 nucleotides) under Clostridioides difficile. RNAcentral's name for it is "partial 23S ribosomal RNA". It matches the Rfam family "Bacterial large subunit ribosomal RNA", at positions 1325 to 1578 of the family's 2925-position model. The record is from RNAcentral. Lineage: Bacteria; Bacillati; Bacillota; Clostridia; Peptostreptococcales; Peptostreptococcaceae.